GGAGACGUGGCCGAGUGGCCGAAGGCGCUCCCCUGCUAAGGGAGUAGCGGGUAACACCGCUCGGAGGUUCGAAUCCUCUCGUCUCCG
This 87-nucleotide transfer RNA is filed under the name Bowdeniella nasicola. Its description in RNAcentral is "tRNA-Ser". It matches the Rfam family "tRNA". Rfam says of the family: Transfer RNA (tRNA) molecules are approximately 80 nucleotides in length. Their secondary structure includes four short double-helical elements and three loops (D, anti-codon, and T loops). The record is from RNAcentral. Lineage: Bacteria; Bacillati; Actinomycetota; Actinomycetes; Actinomycetales; Actinomycetaceae.